RNAcentral lists this ribosomal RNA (304 nucleotides) under Ligidium ghigii. RNAcentral's name for it is "partial 12S ribosomal RNA". Lineage: Eukaryota; Metazoa; Arthropoda; Malacostraca; Isopoda; Ligiidae. The record is from RNAcentral.
UUAGAUACCCUAUUAUUCCUAAACCAAUGUCAACCUAAAGGAAUAACUGCUAUAAGCCCUAAACCUAAAGGAUUUGGCGGUGUUUUACCGAACCAGAGGAACCCGUUCUAUAACCGUCAAAACGCGAAACAUCUAACCCAAAGAAAGCUCAUAUACCGUCAUUUAAAUUACGCUUACAAGCUAUAUUAAAACAGAACAACUACCAAAUUAGACAAGGUGUGGCAUCUUUGGGGAAGAAUAGGUUACAUUUUACAAACAAGUGGAAUCUUUAUGAAAAAUAGAAGAAAAAGGAUUUGUUAGUAAU